RNAcentral lists this unclassified non-coding RNA (194 nucleotides) under rhizosphere metagenome. RNAcentral describes it as "partial ribosomal RNA internal transcribed spacer region". The record is from RNAcentral.
GUAGGUGAACCUGCGGAAGGAUCAUUACAAAUCCACGUCUCUUUUGAGACUCGUUGAAAUGUUGAGGGGCGGUGGAAUAGACAGAUAUAUUAUAUAUCAUAUAUCUCACCCCCCCCUCUACCCUUAUCUUUAUAUGUUGAUCAGUGAUACUAAAACUAUUUACACAACUUAUAACAAUGGAUCUCUAGGCUCUU